RNAcentral lists this long non-coding RNA (221 nucleotides) under Homo sapiens (human). RNAcentral describes it as "HSALNT0376891". Lineage: Eukaryota; Metazoa; Chordata; Mammalia; Primates; Hominidae. The record is from RNAcentral.
AUUCGGGAUAAUGAGCGCCGGGCCGAGGGGGCGGGCCGAGCCUCGGCUGCUGGGACUCAGGGCUCAGCGGCGACCCCAAGGCACUCUGCGCUGCUGCUAAAGGGGCAGCAACGGCGGCCAGCGCUGUGCGCGCCAUAGCGAGGCUCGCUCGCCCGACGCGCACUCCGGGUCGGUCCCCAGAGCUCUGUGGAGGUGACUCGAGUGGGCAGGGCCGGGCGGCG